Molecule: ribosomal RNA, 343 nt
Filed under: Pemphigus bursarius (lettuce root aphid)
Lineage: Eukaryota; Metazoa; Arthropoda; Insecta; Hemiptera; Aphididae
Description: partial 12S ribosomal RNA
Source: RNAcentral
ACCAGGAUUAGAUACCCUAUUAUAAAAAUUUAAAAUAAUUUACUAAAAAAUUAAUAGUUAGGUUCUUUAAAUUUAAAAAAUUUGGCGGUAUUUUAGUCUUAUUAGAGGAACCUGUUUUUUAAUUGAUAAUCCACGAUUAAUUUUACUUAAUUUUAAAAUUCAUAUAUCGCUGUCAUGAAUAUAUUUAAAAAUUUAUUUUCUUUAGUUAAUUUAAUAAUUUAUGUUAAGUCAAGAUGUGGUUUAUAAUUAAGAAAAUAAUGGGUUACAAUAAAUUAAAUUUUUGGAUUUAAAAUGAAAAUAUAAAUAAAAUUGGAUUUAAUAGUAAUUUUAAUUAUUUAAUUAU